UGUUUCUGUGCAACAGUAGGUAGGUCCAGGGUUAGGUUCCUGUGCAACAGUAGGUAGGUCCAGGGUUAGGUUCCUGUGCAACAGUAGGUAGGUCCAGGGUUAGGUUCCUGUGCAACAGUAGGUAGAUCCAGGGUUGUGUUUCUGUGCAACGGUAGGUAGGUCCAGGGUUGUGUUUCUGUGCAACAGUAGGUAGGUCCAGGGUUGUGUUUCUGUGCAACGGUAGGUAGGUCCAGGGUUGUGUUUCUGUGCAACAGUAGGUAGGUCCAGGGUUGUGUUUCUGUGCAACAGUAGGUAGGUCCAGGGUUGUGUUUCUGUGCAACAGUAGGUAGGUCCAGGGUUGUGUUUCUGUGCAACAGUAGGUAGGUACACACAACACAUGGUUUUUCAAUAUGCUUCAGAAAAACUAGAGUACUGAUGUCUUUUUUUAAUUACAUUUUUUAGAACAAUGGUAUGCUUUUUUUUUU
This is a long non-coding RNA of Oncorhynchus tshawytscha (Chinook salmon), 464 nucleotides long. Lineage: Eukaryota; Metazoa; Chordata; Actinopteri; Salmoniformes; Salmonidae. The record is from Ensembl.